Molecule: unclassified non-coding RNA, 307 nt
Filed under: Hevea brasiliensis (rubber tree)
Lineage: Eukaryota; Viridiplantae; Streptophyta; Magnoliopsida; Malpighiales; Euphorbiaceae
Source: RNAcentral
UGUCAGCUGCAUACUCAAUACCUGAUGCCAUAGUUGCAACAGAAGCUCAAGCACCAUUUGGAGAAAUACUCAUUGAGGAUGCUGGAAGUUCAAAAGAUCUUAGAAAUCUUUGUCCUUCAGUGGCAGACACAAUUUUAGAAGAGCGGGUUCCAGAAUCUAGUUGGACAAAUCAUCUGGUUCCAGAUUUCCCUACCACACAAGCCAUGGCUGCUCAAGAACAUGAAAUGCCACAGAUAAGAGCUAGGCAAGAAAUGAAAACUGUAACCAUAAAGGCAACGUACAGAGAAGAUAUAAUAAGGUUCCGAAU